Molecule: unclassified non-coding RNA, 396 nt
Filed under: Hevea brasiliensis (rubber tree)
Lineage: Eukaryota; Viridiplantae; Streptophyta; Magnoliopsida; Malpighiales; Euphorbiaceae
Source: RNAcentral
UAAUUGGGAUGAACAGGUGAAAAAGGCAUCGGAACGUCUUGAUAAUUGGUUCUUAAGGCCUUCAGAAGAAUCAAGUGCCGAGAAUGCCCCACAAGAAAGAUUGAAUGGCUAGUCACUAUCAUGAAAUGAUUAAUUUUAAAUUAAUUACAUUUUGUAUCGCCUUUAGAAGAAUCAAGUGGCUUGUUGGGUUGUUACGACUAUUUGUUGUGAACCUUUGGGAUAUCUGGUUUGUUGUUAUUGUUCAGUCUGACACCAUGAUUAUGUAUAUAUAUAAUGCUACUGAAAGUUCCUAGGUCCGGUCCUAAUGCCACGAAAACCUACAAUAAAGAGAAAAAAUGAGGUGAGUAGCCUUCUUGGAAGUUACUCAGAUGUUUAAGUCAGAGAACUAGAUAUGAG